RNAcentral lists this ribosomal RNA (253 nucleotides) under uncultured bacterium. RNAcentral describes it as "partial 16S ribosomal RNA". It matches the Rfam family "Bacterial small subunit ribosomal RNA", at positions 524 to 776 of the family's 1533-position model. The record is from RNAcentral.
UACGUAGGUGGCAAGCGUUGUCCGGAUUCACUGAGCGUAGAGCGCGCGCAGGCGGUCUUCUACGUCUGGGGUGAAAACCCGGGGCUCAACCCCGGGACUGCCUUGGAUACGGGAAGACUUGAGGAUCGGAGAGGCAAGGGGAAUUCCACGUGUAGCGGUGAAAUGCGUAGAGAUGUGGAGGAACACCUGUGGCGAAGGCGCCUUGCUGGCCGAUUUCUGACGCUGAGGCGCGAAAGCGUGGGGAGCAAACAGG